GAGGGGUAUAGUAGCAAUACUAGAGACCGGCGCACGGGUGCGUAACGCGUAUGCAAUCUACCUUUUGCAGAGGGAUAGCCCAGAGAAAUUUGGAUUAAUACCUCAUAGUAUUAUAGUAUGGCAUCAUAUUAUAAUUAAAGUCACAACGGCAAAAGAUGAGCAUGCGUCCCAUUAGUUAGUUGGUAAGGUAACGGCUUACCAAGACUACGAUGGGUAGGGGUCCUGAGAGGGAGAUCCCCCACACUGGUACUGAGACACGGACCAGACUCCUACGGGAGGCAGCAGUGAGGAAUAUUGGACAAUGGGCGCAAGCCUGAUCCAGCCAUGCCGCGUGCAGGAUGACGGUCCUAUGGAUUGUAAACUGCUUUUGCACAGGAAGAAACAUCCCGACGUGUCGGGACUUGACGGUACUGUGAGAAUAAGGAUCGGCUAACUCCGUGCCAGCAGCCGCGGUAAUACGGAGGAUCCAAGCGUUAUCCGGAAUCAUUGGGUUUAAAGGGUCCGUAGGCGGUUUAGUAAGUCAGUGGUGAAAGCCCAUCGCUCAACGGUGGAACGGCCAUUGAUACUGCUAGACUUGAAUUAUUAGGAAGUAACUAGAAUAUGUAGUGUAGCGGUGAAAUGCUUAGAGAUUACAUGGAAUACCAAUUGCGAAGGCAGGUUACUACUAAUGGAUUGACGCUGAUGGACGAAAGCGUGGGUAGCGAACAGGAUUAGAUACCCUGGUAGUCCACGCCGUAAACGAUGGAUACUAGCUGUUGGGAGCAAUCUCAGUGGCUAAGCGAAAGUGAUAAGUAUCCCACCUGGGGAGUACGUUCGCAAGAAUG
This 824-nucleotide ribosomal RNA is filed under the name uncultured bacterium. Its description in RNAcentral is "bacterial SSU rRNA". It matches the Rfam family "Bacterial small subunit ribosomal RNA", at positions 64 to 896 of the family's 1533-position model. The record is from RNAcentral.